Molecule: long non-coding RNA, 291 nt
Filed under: Helianthus annuus (common sunflower)
Lineage: Eukaryota; Viridiplantae; Streptophyta; Magnoliopsida; Asterales; Asteraceae
Source: RNAcentral
UCCGGAUUAGGUCCAUCUUCACCUACGGUCAAAACCAUGUAAAUAAUUAGUUUUGACACUUUAAUAAUCGAGUAUAAACAAGUUCCGUGCUUAACGUAACAAAACAAGAAAUUAUUUUUGUUUUGUUUUCAGCCCCUUCACCCGGCCGUGUCAAAAAGUCACCCGGCCGUGUCAGUUAACAUAUAUUUUUCACAGCCCAGCCACCCGCCCGUGUCAAAAAGUCACCCGCCCGUGUCAACUCUGCACGUCUAUUUUUCAUUAGUUCUUACCGAAACGGACAUAACUCUCUCG